Molecule: long non-coding RNA, 1555 nt
Filed under: Daphnia pulicaria
Lineage: Eukaryota; Metazoa; Arthropoda; Branchiopoda; Diplostraca; Daphniidae
Description: uncharacterized LOC124326759, transcript variant X2
Source: RNAcentral
UUGAUCUUUUUUAAAAUGUACGAUUGAAGUUCAGUCAUUAAGCCGUGACAAUUUUUUCGAUGUGCGAGUUGGUCACCGUUGUGUUGCGUAAUCGUUUUUAAUCAACGCAAGGGUGCUGCAGGCGCUGGGUUUCGUAAAUUCAAAUUCAAUUAUCCAAUCGUCUCUUGAAAUCCAAUCGUUGCAAUUGAAAUGGAAAAUGCUACCGGGUCUCGUGCUCCGUCAGGCACAUUUGUUUCCUGUGGUGUAUUCUGGAUAGAAAAUCAAGUUGCAGGAAUAUGAAAUUCAGCGCAAUUAAAUCGCUGAAUUUUGUUUUCUUUUAAGAGUUUGAAAUUCGCGCUGUAGUUGUGACAGGAUUUCAGGCAGCAUCAUUCCCCAGUUUAAAAGUGAAUUUGAGUUUGUUUUGAAAUCAGUGCCCAAGUGGAACCGCCGUCAGCGGCUGCAGACGUGCUAGUGAUCACGCAACGACGCGAGGUGUGGUUUUAUUUUUCAAGUAAUCCAAUCUAACUUUUUGUUAUUUCCUUUAUAGCUUUGCCGCUCGUCGUUCUUUCCCGUAAGGUUACUGCAGCUAGAAGCGUCAGCGGUCAAAUUAUUACCACCGCCAGACACUUGGAAAAAGGGAGGGAGAGCUUCAUUCGAAGGCAAGGCGAAUUUCCACUUCCACCGGUAGGUGACUAGUCCCACUUAAUGACCCAACGGAAUUUCGUCUGCUGCGGUCCAGUCUCAACAGCAUCAGCAAGGGGAAAUAUUCAGCAAAUUAUUUCGACAUCCACACAUCAACAAGACUAGGACAUCACCUCUUUCUUUCCCUUAGGAUUGGAGCGGCUAGGAACGUCAGUAGUGAAAUAACAACCGCCAGGAAUAUUGGACAAUUUAAUAGAGAGCUUCAUUCCAAGUCUGUUCCCAAUGGGCCCACCAGUAUGCUUUAGAUAUUGGGCAUAUCGACUGUGGGACCGUUAGUGUGGACGGGUGUUGCAUAUGAAGGAAUCUUGUCUCGGAUACCAGUGUCAAGUCCAGCACCGUUCUAAUAGCCAGAAAGUUACAACUAAGUGCGACAUUCUUCAAAGUGCAGCAGUUGCUUUGUGUGCAAAGCGUGAAUCUUGUCUUGUCUUUUGAGAACACAGCACAUGGUCACAUUUAGCUAUCAAACAAAGGCACUUGCUACCGUAAUUCUCCACAAACGGAAUUGCCAGCCCGGUUAAAUGGAAGCUGUAUGGCUGUUGGCUGUUGCUGUCUUAUGCAGAUCAUUUUUACUUGCCACCUUGCUAACUGCAUAAAUUGGGAAAGCUGCCUUAUUUGCACAUUUACAGCAGCUUGUUAGUUGUUUUUGAUUUAUGUCUGAUUUGUUUCAUAGUUUUUCCCACUGUUUGUUUGUUUGAGGUAUGACUAAAAUCGCCUGUGGUGUCGCAGUCCGAUGUGCUGAUGUUGAUGCCUGCCUAUUCCCUGGUUUAAGGAGUACUUAGACAGAAUCGAAUUUACGAUGGUGGUUAUCUUUCCGUUUUUGUUUCGUGUUCUCAUUAAGUGUGUUUUCUAUGUGUCGCUAUGCAAGUGAUUUGAG